Molecule: ribosomal RNA, 441 nt
Filed under: uncultured bacterium
Lineage: Bacteria
Description: bacterial SSU rRNA
Rfam family: Bacterial small subunit ribosomal RNA
Source: RNAcentral
CCUACGGGGGGCUGCAGUGAGGAAUUUUCGUCAAUGGGGGCAACCCUGAACGAGCAACGCCGCGUGCAGGAAGAAGGUUUUCGGAUCGUAAACUGCUUUUCUCUGGGACGAGCAAGGACGGUACCAGAGGAACAAGCCCCGGCUAACUACGUGCCAGCAGCCGCGGUAAUACGUAGGGGGCGAGCGUUGUCCGGAGUUACUGGGCGUAAAGGGUCCGGAGGCGGUUCGGUAAGUUUCGCGUGACAGUCCUCGGCUUAACUGAGGAAGGACGCGGAAAACUGGCGGACUUGAGGGCGUAAGAGGAAGGCGGAAUUCCGGGUGGAGUGGUGAAAUGCGUAGAUAUCCGGAGGAACACCAAAGGCGAAGGCAGCCUUCUGGCGCGCACCUGACGCUGAUGGACGAAAGCCAGGGGAGCGAACGGGAUUAGAUACCCCGGUAGUC